CUGGGAGGACCAUCUCCUAAGGCUAAAUACUCUCUAGUGACCGAUAGUGAACCAGUACCGUGAGGGAAAGGUGAAAAGCACCCCGGAAGGGGAGUGAAAUAGAACCUGAAACCGUGUGCUUACAAGUAGUCAGAGCCCGUUAAUGGGUGAUGGCGUGCCUUUUGUAGAAUGAACCGGCGAGUUACGAUUUGAUGCAAGGUUAAGCAGUAAAUGUGGAGCCGUAGCGAAAGCGAGUCUGAAUAGGGCGUUUAGUAUUUGGUCGUAGACCCGAAACCAGGUGAUCUACCCUUGGUCAGGUUGAAGUUCAGGUAACACUGAAUGGAGGACCGAACCGACUUACGUUGAAAAGUGAGCGGAUGAACUGAGGGUAGCGGAGAAAUUCCAAUCGAACCUGGAGAUAGCUGGUUCUCUCCGAAAUAGCUUUAGGGCUAGCCUCAAGUGAUGAUUAUUGGAGGUAGAGCACUGUUUGGACGAGGGGCCCCUCUCGGGUUACCGAAUUCAGACAAACUCCGAAUGCCAAUUAAUUUAACUUGGGAGUCAGAACAUGGGUGAUAAGGUCCGUGUUCGAAAGGGAAACAGCCCAGACCACCAGCUAAGGUCCCAAAAUAUAUGUUAAGUGGAAAAGGAUGUGGCGUUGCCCAGACAACUAGGAUGUUGGCUUAGAAGCAGCCAUCAUUUAAAGAGUGCGUAAUAGCUCACUAGUCGAGUGACACUGCGCCGAAAAUGUACCGGGGCUAAACAUAUUACCGAAGCUGUGGAUUGUCCUUUGGACAAUGGUAGGAGAGCGUUCUAAGGGCGUUGAAGCAUGAUCGUAAGGACAUGUGGAGCGCUUAGAAGUGAGAAUGCCGGUGUGAGUAGCGAAAGACGGGUGAGAAUCCCGUCCACCGAUUGACUAAGGUUUCCAGAGGAAGGCUCGUCCGCUCUGGGUUAGUCGGGUCCUAAGCUGAGGCCGACAGGCGUAGGCGAUGGAUAACAGGUUGAUAUUCCUGUACCACCUAUAAUCGUUUUAAUCGAUGGGGGGGACGCAGUAGGAUAGGCGAAGCGUGCGAUUGGAUUGCACGUCUAAGCAGUAAGGCUGAGUAUUAGGCAAAUCCGGUACUCGCUAAGGCUGAGCUGUGAUGGGGAGAAGACAUUGUGUCUUCGAGUCGUUGAUUUCACACUGCCGAGAAAAGCCUCUAGAUAGAAAAUAGGUGCCCGUACCGCAAACCGACACAGGUAGUCAAGAUGAGAAUUCUAAGGUGAGCGAGCGAACUCUCGUUAAGGAACUCGGCAAAAUGACCCCGUAACUUCGGGAGAAGGGGUGCUCUUUAGGGUUAACGCCCAGAAGAGCCGCAGUGAAUAGGCCCAAGCGACUGUUUAUCAAAAACACAGGUCUCUGCUAAACCGUAAGGUGAUGUAUAGGGGCUGACGCCUGCCCGGUGCUGGAAGGUUAAGAGGAGUGGUUAGCUUCUGCGAAGCUACGAAUCGAAGC
This 1471-nucleotide ribosomal RNA is filed under the name Staphylococcus aureus. Its description in RNAcentral is "partial 23S ribosomal RNA". It matches the Rfam family "Bacterial large subunit ribosomal RNA", at positions 444 to 1918 of the family's 2925-position model. The record is from RNAcentral. Lineage: Bacteria; Bacillati; Bacillota; Bacilli; Caryophanales; Staphylococcaceae.